RNAcentral lists this ribosomal RNA (253 nucleotides) under uncultured bacterium. Its description in RNAcentral is "partial 16S ribosomal RNA". It matches the Rfam family "Bacterial small subunit ribosomal RNA", at positions 524 to 776 of the family's 1533-position model. The record is from RNAcentral.
UACGUAGGGACCGAGCGUUGUCCGGAAUCAUUGGGCGUAAAGAGCGUGUAGGCGGCUAUUUAAGUCCUGCGUGAAAUCCUGCGGCUCAACCGCAGACGGUCGUGGGAAACUGGAUGGCUAGAGUGCGGGAGAGGAGAGUGGAAUUCCCGGUGUAGCGGUGAAAUGCGCAGAUAUCGGGAAGAACACCAGUGGCGAAGGCGGCUCUCUGGGACGUGACUGACGCUGAGACGCGAAAGCGUGGGGAGCGAACAGG